UGGGGAAUAUUGCACAAUGGGCGCAAGCCUGAUGCAGCCAUGCCGCGUGUAUGAAGAAGGCCUUCGGGUUGUAAAGUACUUUCAGCGGGGAGGAAGGCGAUGUGGUUAAUAACCGCGUCGAUUGACGUUACCCGCAGAAGAAGCACCGGCUAACUCCGUGCCAGCAGCCGCGGUAAUACGGAGGGUGCAAGCGGUAAUCGGAAUUACUGGGCGUAAAGCGCACGCAGGCGGUCUGUCAAGUCGGAUGUGAAAUCCCCGGGCUCAACCUGGGAACUGCAUCCGAAACUGGCAGGCUUGAGUCUCGUAGAGGGGGGUAGAAUUCCAGGUGUAGCGGUGAAAUGCGUAGAGAUCUGGAGGAAUACCGGUGGCGAAGGCGGCCCCCUGGACGAAGACUGACGCUCAGGUGCGAAAGCGUGGGGAGCAAACA
RNAcentral lists this ribosomal RNA (427 nucleotides) under uncultured bacterium. Its description in RNAcentral is "partial 16S ribosomal RNA". It matches the Rfam family "Bacterial small subunit ribosomal RNA", at positions 355 to 774 of the family's 1533-position model. The record is from RNAcentral.